Molecule: long non-coding RNA, 84 nt
Organism: Sinocyclocheilus grahami
Lineage: Eukaryota; Metazoa; Chordata; Actinopteri; Cypriniformes; Cyprinidae
Exons: 3
Source: RefSeq, a predicted model, not a curated record
AUGAAAAUUCUACAUGGCUAUGUGCUUGGCCCGAGCUCAGGCUGAGCGGCACGGAUUGUACUAUGGACUGUUUUAAUUAACCAG